UUCAUUUAUUUAUUUAUUUAUUUUUUGGUAGUGGAGGAAUAAGCUCCGUAGCUCUAGUUUUUCUCGACCUGCAUUGUUAUUUGCUACUAUCGCGCGACGAUUAUUAUCGCUGAUUUCCGAUUCUUGUGGAAAUGGACAAGUAACAGAAACCCUAACAUUCACCGGACUACGAAUGGAUUGGGCUUUUGUACAUAAAACAUGGGACAAGUGGGUUUCUACCUCUGUCGGCUCUUCCGGUCAGCCGUUGAAGGCUGCUUUGCUGAUUAACUACGACCCGACUGGACCUUCUCGCCUCUUGUCUACAAUUGCAGAGCAGGAGGAAAUAAAGCUCAGUCCUGUUGAAUUGACUCAAUUUGUUGAUUUCGUCAAGUGCAGCAAGCUCCAAACUGAGAGCUUCAUUAUUGGGGCAAACCAAUACUCAGCUUCUAGGGAUGUAAGUUUAUAUGCUGGGUGAUAUCUAUGCGUAAUUUCCUUUCUCGCUCUUGAAAAGUUAAGAAAUGAUGGAUUUAAUAGUAAAUUGACGUGUGUAUGUGUGUGUAAAUAUAUUUGUCAUAUUUAUAGGUACUUUUGUAUGGUCAACUAACUUUAUUGUGGCAGUGAUGUAUGUGUAUCUUAUUUUUCCUUCCCUUCAAAUUGGACAUUGUAUGACCAAUCACUUUAUUUUUUUAAUCCACUCUUUGUAGAUUUGACUGUGCCUAGAUUUUUCUAAGACAAAGGAUGUUGUUGGCAGGAGGACUUAGAUAUUCUUACCGACUUGCUGUAUAUAGGACCAUAUAGCACUUAAUUUUUAGUUGUUGGAAUUAGGGUUAGCACCACCUGAAUAAUUAACAGGGUAGUUAUUGGUAUCUUUCAAAUUCGUAGAGAAAAUCAUAAAAUUCUCUUGCUUGGUGAGUUAAUUAUAAAAUAUUGGGUGUUUCAAAUUAUAAAAUGUUGGGAAAGUAUAGUUCGAUAUCUUGUAGUUUGAAACUUUUCAAAUUUGAUAUAUAUUUUUUAUUUCUCCAGUACAUAUGUUUGACUGGAACAGUGUCAUUUUCGGCAUGUAGAUAGUCUGAAUUUUAAAGAAUUUUAUACAUGGACAGCACAGUUUAGACUAUAUUAUAUCAUAAAAAGACUAAUUAAAUUUAGAAAUUUGGUAUCAAAACUAAAAAUAAAUAAUAAACUCAGAACAUAAAAAAAAGGGUUCCGAAAAGACUCCUCACUCCAGUGCCUCCUCUUCCGUCACUGUCAUUGGUACCUCUCAUAAUCUCUGGGUACACCUCUUCAAGCCCAGUGCUGAUCACCCAGGUCGACCUUUGCUUGGUCAUUGUCUAUUUUUUCACAUUGUGAAUUCACAAUCUUCACCCAUAUGUCAUUCUGUGACAAUUGUUGUUGCCAGCUGGCAAGGGAUCUUGGAGUUGUGGCAUCGUUAAGCUUUUGUUGCUUGUUUGGUAUUCGACAGUAUGACUUUGAUGCAUUAGAUUUUGCUGACAAAUAUUUUGAGGAUUGCAUCCCUUUUGGAACUGCUCGGGAAGUGUUCCAUCGCAGGAGGAAAAACUGGUGGGAACUUGGCUCACCACGUGUCAAAAGAGUUUAAGGAGGACAUGUUUCGAAAUCAAAAUGCUAGGAAUAGAAAUAAAACUGUUUUUCAGCGGGAAAGAAAGAAUCGGAAAUGAUGAAGAUGAACUAAUGAAGCCCAAGCAAGAUUUGGUUACAUCAAUUCAUGAGCAUUGGUUUUAUGCAAGGUGCAUGAACCCAGGAAAGCCGGAUGGGGAAGGUGCAAUUGUUAUGCAGACUGCAGUAUUCUUGUUGGUUGCACUGUAAGUGCAUCACUGAAUUUUUUUUUCUUUUCGGUAAACUUUAGAAGGUUGCUUAUGACAGGAACAAGUGAAUUCUAAAAUAUUAUAGAAUUCAUUAAAAAACUAAUCUUAUAUUUGUAGUUAUUUCAAAUAAGGGGAUUCCAUUGGUUUGCUGAA
Carica papaya (papaya) is the source of this 1952-nucleotide non-coding RNA. NCBI's taxonomy places the organism in Eukaryota, Viridiplantae, Streptophyta, Magnoliopsida, Brassicales, Caricaceae. The record is from RefSeq and is a predicted model, not a curated record.